GCUCUAUGGGGUUGGGGGUCCUAUGGGCUCUAUGGGGUUGGGGGUCCUAUGGGCUCUAUGGGGUUUGUCGGAAUACAACAACUUCAAGUCCAUGGUGGUGUCGGGGGCAAAAGGCUCCAAGAUCAACAUCUCACAGGUUAUCGCAGUUGUGGGUCAGCAGAACGUGGAGGGGAAGCGGAUCCCCUUUGGGUUCAAGCAUCUUUAGGGUCCCUAUGGGGUCUUUAUGUUUCCUAUGGGGUCUUUAUGUUUCCUAUGGGGUCUCUAGGUUUCCUAUGGGGUCUUUAUAGUUCCUAUGGGGUCUUUAGGGUUCCUAUGGGUUCUUUAGGGUCUCCUAGACCUAUCUGGUCUUAAGGGAUCCCAGGGGGUUUUUAUGGUCUCCUAUGGGGUCUUUAUGUCUCCUAUGGGGUCUUUAGGUUCCCUAUGGGGUUUUUAUGGUCUCACAUCCCAUAUCAUCCCUAUACCAGGUUAUUGCUGUUGUGGGGCAGCAGAACGUGGAGGGGAAGCGGAUCCCCUUUGGGUUCAAGCAUCUUUAGGGUCCCUAUGGGGUCUUUAUGUCUCCUAUGGGGUCUUUAUGUCUCCUAUGGGGUCUUUAUGGUUCCUAUGGGGUCUUUAUGGUUCCUAUGGGGUCUUUAGGGUCUCCUAGACCUAUCUGGUCUUAAGGGAUCCCAGGGGGUCUUUAUAGUCUCCUAUGGGGUCUUUAGGGUCUCUAUGGGGUCUUUAUGUCUCCUAUGGGGUCUUUAGGUCCCAUUCAAUCCCAUUGUAUCCUAUAUCCCUAUAGGUUAUCGCAGUUGUGGGUCAGCAGAACGUGGAGGGGAAGCGGAUCCCCUUUGGGUUCAAGCAUCUUUAGGGUCCCUAUGGGGUCUUUAUGUCUCCUAUGGGAUCUUUAGGUUUCCUAUGGGAUCUUUAGGUCUCCUAUGGGGUCUUUAGGUUCCCUAUGGGGUUUUUAGGUCUCCUAUGGGGUCUUUAGGUUUCCUAUGGGGUCUUUAGGGUCUCCUAUGGGGUCUUAGGUUUCCUACCGGAUCUUUAGGGUCUCCUAUGGGGUCUUUAUGGUCCCUAUGGGGUCUUUAUGUCUCCUAUGGGGUCUUUAGGUUCCCUAUGGGGUCUUUAGGUUUCCUACGGGAUCUUUAGGUUUCCUAUGGGGUCUUUAUGGUUCCUAUGAGGUCUUUAGGGUCCCU
Non-coding RNA from Coturnix japonica (Japanese quail), 1175 nucleotides. NCBI's taxonomy places the organism in Eukaryota, Metazoa, Chordata, Aves, Galliformes, Phasianidae. The record is from RefSeq and is a predicted model, not a curated record.